Long non-coding RNA from Scylla paramamosain (green mud crab), 5075 nucleotides. RefSeq lists it as uncharacterized. The record is from RefSeq and is a predicted model, not a curated record. The transcript has 4 exons. Lineage: Eukaryota; Metazoa; Arthropoda; Malacostraca; Decapoda; Portunidae.
GGAAGGAGCACAUACACACAGACACACACACCCUUGUCUGCUCUGCCUCGCGUUGUUCUUACUCGUUUUGCUUUUAUGAUGUGUUCUCGUGACUGACGCUGAACUGGAGGGCGACAGUGCUCGGAGGAGGUGCUGAAGGUGUUAAUGGUGGUAAUUAUUCAGCGGAUGGUACUCACCUGCCGUGAACACUAGAACUACAGACAGGAUCGACGGAGCUUAGCUGAGGACGAGAGGAGAGGAGAACGAGGAGGAGGAGGAGGAAGGGAAAGAAGGAAUACAGAAGGAACGAGGAAGGAGACACUGACGAAGGAAAAAAAUGAAAACAAAAGGAGACAGGAAGGAAAGAGGGAGAAGAGAGGAUAACGAGGAGGAGGAGGAAGAGGAAGAGGAAGGCGAAGGGAAAGAAGGAAUACAAAAAGUAAAGAAGAAAACACUAGCGAAAGGAAAGAAGGGAGACAGAAGGAGACAGGAAGAAAACUUAAGGGAAGAGGAAGAAGAAACGAGGAAGAGCAGGAGGAGGAAGGCGAAGGGAAAGAAGGAAUACAGAAGGAAAGGGGAAGAAAACACUAGCGAAAGGAAAGAAGGAAGAAAACAAAGAACGAGAAAGAAGACACUGACGGAGAAAAAAAGGAAAACAAAAGGAGAGAGAAAGAAAACAGAAGAAAAGAGGAGGAAGACACUGACGAAAGAAAAGGAAAACAAAGAAAAGGAAAGCAAACAGUAAGAAAACUAAAAUAAUAAGAAAAAUAAAAUUAAUUCAAAUGCAUAACCUUAUUUUAUCUAUUUAUUUAUUUUUUGUAUACACACACGUGUAGACAUUCUAAUUUACGUACAUAGGUGCACAAGAGGAAAGUUGGAGAAGGAAGAGGAAGAAGGAGGACGAAGAGGAGAAGGAACAGAUAAGGAAAGUUGAAGGAAGACGAGGAAGAGGAAGAGGAAACAAAAGAAGAACAAGCAUGCGCAUUAGAAAACUUGAGAAGAGGAGGAAUAGGAAGAGGAAAAAGGGAAAAAUUUAAGCCCAAAAAGCAACAUAUUUUUUACCCAUUUCAAGCCUCUCCUACAAGCUACACUGUAUAAUCUAAAGAAGGAAGAGAAGAGAAGAGAAGAAAAAGGAGGAGGAGGAGGAGGAGGAAAAAGGAAAAACGGACAAAAAAGUAAGUGUUGUAAAGUAGAGGGCGGAAGAGGCGGCAGGAGAGGACAUUUAGGAGUGAAGAGAAGGCGUGUUUUGAAGAGAGGGUGAAGAGUGAGAGGAAAACAACGAGAUAAAGAGCGAGACGACGAGGACGAGGACGAGGUGAAUGAAGGGACGUGAGAGGGUGGCAGACGAGACUUUGGAGGUAUCUAGUCAGUCAGUCAGUCAGCCAGUCUUCCCGCUCCUCAUUUUCAUUAAGUGUCCCUCAUAUUCACCACUUCCCACCUGUACAUUAUAUAAUUUCCAUAAAACAUUAUUUCUCUUACCUUUUCACAUUCCUCGUGUUCCCCUUUGACUUCCCCUCUUCCUCCUGCUUCUCUCUGACAUACCACUAAUCUUCCGUGUGUCCCCUCACCCUCUCUGACCCUCACUCUCUCUCUCUCUCUCUCACUCUCUCUCCUUCCCUCCUUGCUUCAUUUUCAUCCUGUUUGCUGCUCCGUCCCUAGCCUCUCUCCUUGUCUAUCUCCCUUCACCCUCACCCUUGUCUUUCAGUCGGCCUCUUGCUGCUCCUCCCUCUCUGUGUCUCUGUCUCUCUCUGUCUGUCUUCCUUCCUUCCUUAUCUCGCUCUCACGUCGCUAUUCCUGUCCCUGGCCUCUCGUCUUAUAUGUCUUACUUCACCCUCGCCCAGGUAUUUCACUCCUUGUCCUCCUCUUCCUCUCUGUCUCUUCCUGUCUCGUCUCCUUUCCUUCCUCCUUCACUCUCAUCCUGUUUCCCACUCCUAUCCCUUGCCUCUCUUUUUUAUCUAUCUUACUUCACCCUCAUCCAUGUCUUUCACUCCUCCUCCUCCUCCUCUUCCUCCUCCUCCUCCUCCUACUCCUCCUCCUCCUGCGUCGCCGCCAGCCAAGCAGAUGCCUUCUCGCUUCCAUGCCUCCCUCACGACCUACUAACGGCCCAUCAUGACUUGCCUCACCUGACGACGACGCAGCAGCAGCCACAAGUCUCGCGAGGUUUCGUGUCGCCUCGCCUUACGUGGGAGCACCUUCACUCUCUGCCACACCCUCGUUCACCCUCCGCCCUGAGGCAUAUGAUGGGGUUUGGAGAGGAGAAUAUGACAGAAGUGUUGAGACGUUCCAUAACCUCCCAAAGCCUGUGUGUGUGUGUGUGUGUGUGUGUGUGUGUGUGUGUGUGUGUGUGUGUGUGUGUGUGUGUGUGUGUGUGUGUGUGUGUGUGUGUGUGUGUGUGUGUGUGUGUGUGUGUGUGUGUAUGUGAUGGUUAGUUUUUGCCUGUAAGAUUAAGGGAGAAUGUAUGGUGAUGUUAUACCUUAUUUACUGACUCGUGUAUCUGUCAAAUGAAGAGGUUUUUAGGUGAGUUUUAAAAAAGGGGAUAUGUCAGAAGUGUUGAGUUAACAUAACCCACGAAAGCCUGUGUGUGUUGUUGGUUAGUUCUUGCCUGUAAAAUGAAGUGGGGAAUCUAUGACCAUGUUAUACUUUAUUUACUGACUCGCGUAUCUGCCAAGUGACGGUUUUCAAGGAAGGGAAUAUGAUGUAAAGGAAAGAUUAAGAAUGCCAAGAUAUUUCGUAACCUAUGAAGUCUCUAACAUUAUUUUUUUUUUCAUUAUCAAUCCUUUCACUGCUAUUGAGUACAUAUUUCCUUAAUCACAAAUCAAAUCAGAGACAUUCUUAUUCUAGAGUAACACCAAACAUUCAUUACACUGGUUAGAAAUAGAAAAAAACAUCUAUUCAUUCAAUAUUUUUCUGUCUUGUAUAUAUUGAUUCUGUUGUUAGUGUUGUUAACGGUUCCAUAUCACAGUGAAAUGUAUAAGAACCACUACAGUUAGGACCAUUCUAUACCUAUUAGCCAACUUCCCUACUCAUUCUUUCACGUUCGCAUUGUAAAGUAUUUCCGCAAUAGAUCUUUUUUCAUUCGGAUGUUUGCAGUAAAUCUGGCUGGUGGCGCUGCAGAGUGGAGGGUUUGUUUCCAUACAGCAGAUGUGUCCUUGUUUACGUGCCAUUGGCGGUGUUGUUGUUUUGUCAGUGACGCGUCUCGCUGAUAUCCAGGCCACGCAGCGAAGGGCUCGACCUCUUUAGGAUGGUUAGUGUUUUGAGCUGAUGAGGAAAAUGAGAGGCUGCCGUGGAGAGAGAGAGAGAGAGAGUAACCUAAUUAUUCUUUUUUUAGCAUCCUCAUCCUUAUUAAUUCAAUCAUCAAUUUCUUGGAUAAGUCGCCCGUACUUGUAUUUCUUGGGCUAAGGAGCACUGGGAGGAGAGCAGCUCGCGUGAUGGAGUUUAUACACCAGAGUUACGCCUAAAUAAACGCGUGAGUGCCUCUCAAGAUUAUCAUGAUACGGAGGAGCUACAAGGACACCACUAAGUCUUGUGCUCCCAAAGCGGCCGUGGCGAAGCAGCUUGUCUCUUAUUUCUUGGGAGGAGGAGGGAGGAGGAGGAGUAAGAGGAUGACGAGAAGGAAGAGGAAUGGAGGCUGAUAAUGAGUGCAGACAGGAUGUAAGUAAAGGAACACAGACAGAGUGGCUGACUGUUACUGAUCAGCUGUCAAUGGCUGAAAGAUUAACAAACGGAAUGGAAUGACUGACAGACUGGCUGUAUGAAUAACUGUUUCUGAUCAGAUGACAGAAUAACUGACUGUAUCUUGCCAAAUGACUGAAUAACUGACUGUAUCUUACCAAAUGACUGAAUAACUAACUGUAUCUUACCAAAUGACUCAAUAACUGACUAUCUUAACAAAUGAUUGAAUAACUGACUAUCUUACCAAAUGAUUGAAUAACUGUAUGAUUGACUGACUAGAAUCCUGACUAAAUGAGUGAUUAACUCUAUGAUUGGCUGAUGAACUAAGUAACCGAAUGUAUGAAUGAAAGAACAAAUUCCCUUAAUAUUUAACCGAAUAGUUAUCAAACUGAUAAUUCUUGGACUACUACUUUCAAUAUUAGUUCACUAUAAAGGACUACCCUCCAGUACCUUUCAAGUCACGAUGCAUCAGAGCGAGCGAACGAGCGAGCCAGUAACACAUUCACGCUAACGUUUCGAAGCUCCAUCUCGAGUAUUUUGAAAUGACUCUUGUGGAAGUGCUUAAGAUUCCCAAGGAUGUUUUCCUGAUAUUGGUGAUAGUCUAACAAGGAUUCUGCAUCAUCAGUGAGGAAAGACAUGAAAAAUUGACUAAUUACAUAAUGUGGCUUUUGAAAAUAUUCCCUCCAAGGUCAUCAGAGACAAAAACAAACGUCACCAACAGCAGAUGAAAUUCAAGCUCAUAAUUCACGCAUUUAAAAGACAGAACAUUACGAGUACUACUUCUCCUUGACCGUUUCCCUGGUUACCUAGCGUCAGCAGCUGGCCCCUUGUACAAAUCUCUGGUUCUCUCUUUAGCAUCUUCUGUUGCUCUCAUCCUUAAAAAAAAUAAGUAAAUAAAUAAUAAAAAAAUAAUAAUAAUAAUUUGGCAGACUCUUGGUUCUCUUUCUUUAUGGGAGCAGCAUAGUAAGUUGUUGUUUUUUUCUUUUUCCUCCUGGCCUGGCUCCCUGACGUGUAAAUUAAAAAAGUAAAUUAAUAAAACUUUCUAUAACUCUGCCGCAAUACCAUCUCUUAAUCUCACUCACUUUUCGCCCCUCUCUAGAUCAUCUCUCCUCAACAAACACUUUUCAGGCACUUCAACUGUUAUGCUCGUCUUUUUUUUUUUUUUUUUUUACAUUCAGAACACUAAAAAAAUCUUUGCAUAAACACAAAAAAAGGGGAAUAUGAAGUUAACCUUGUCUUUUCGAGGCUACAAAAUAUUUAAGAAACUGUAGUACAAAAAUGAGUCUAAAACGUUAUAGAAUCACGAGAAAACUUGUCUAACAUUUAGAGUCACUAAGUUUAUCUCUUCUCACCAUUUGAAAUACAGAGUACGUCGUGUCCAGAUCCACCACGUUAAGUUCAUACCGGAUAAAGCAACGAGUGCC